GAUGAACGCUGGCGGCGUGCCUAAUACAUGCAAGUCGAGCGAACAGACGAGGAGCUUGCUCCUCUGACGUUAGCGGCGGACGGGUGAGUAACACGUGGAUAACCUACCUAUAAGACUGGGAUAACUUCGGGAAACCGGAGCUAAUACCGGAUAAUAUAUUGAACCGUAUGGUUCAAUAGUGAAAGACGGUUUUGCUGUCACUUAUAGAUGGAUCCGCGCCGCAUUAGCUAGUUGGUAAGGUAACGGCUUACCAAGGCGACGAUGCGUAGCCGACCUGAGAGGGUGAUCGGCGACACUGGAACUGGGACACGGUCCAGACGACUACGGGAGGCAGCAGUAGGGAAUGUUCCGCAAUGGGCGAAAGCCUGACGGAGCAACGCCGCGUGAGUGAUGAAGGUCUUCGGAUCGUAAAACUCUGUUAUGGGGGAAGAACAAAUGUGUAAGUAACUAUGCACGUCUUGACGGUACCUAAUCAGAAAGCCACGGCUAACUACGUG
This 497-nucleotide ribosomal RNA is filed under the name uncultured bacterium. RNAcentral's name for it is "partial 16S ribosomal RNA". It matches the Rfam family "Bacterial small subunit ribosomal RNA", at positions 28 to 507 of the family's 1533-position model. The record is from RNAcentral.